UACGUAGGGUGCAAGCGUUGUCCGGAAUUAUUGGGCGUAAAGAGCUUGUAGGCGGUUUGUCGCGUCUGCUGUGAAAUUUCGGGGCUCAACCCCGAACUUGCAGUGGGUACGGGCAGACUAGAGUGUGGUAGGGGAGACUGGAAUUCCUGGUGUAGCGGUGAAAUGCGCAGAUAUCAGGAGGAACACCGAUGGCGAAGGCAGCUCGCUGGGACGGUACUGACGCUGAGGCGCGAAAGCGUGGGGAGCAAACAGG
Molecule: ribosomal RNA, 253 nt
Filed under: uncultured bacterium
Lineage: Bacteria
Description: partial 16S ribosomal RNA
Rfam family: Bacterial small subunit ribosomal RNA
Source: RNAcentral